Molecule: ribosomal RNA, 1116 nt
Filed under: Chroomonas cf. mesostigmatica
Lineage: Eukaryota; Cryptophyceae; Pyrenomonadales; Chroomonadaceae
Description: partial Bacterial large subunit ribosomal RNA
Rfam family: Bacterial large subunit ribosomal RNA
Source: RNAcentral
GGGGUCAUGGCGACUUACCAAACCUUAGCAAACUCCGAAUACCGCAGAGUACAGCUUGGGAGACAGAGCACCGGGUGCUAACGUCCGGACUCAAGAGGGAAACAACCCAGACCGCCAGCUAAGGUCCCUAAAAUUGGCUAAGUGGGAAACGAAGUGGGAAGGCUAAAACAGUCAGGAUGUUGGCUUAGAAGCAGCCAUCAUUUAAAGAAAGCGUAAUAGCUCACUGAUCGAGUCGUCCUGCGCGGAAGAUGUAACGGGGCUAAGCCAGUUACCGAAGCUGCGGAUGCAUCGCAAGAUGCGUGGUAGGAGAGCGUUCUGUAAGCCUGUGAAGGUGGGUUGUGAAGCCUGCUGGAGGUAUCAGAAGUGCGAAUGCUGACAUGAGUAGCGUUAAAGGGGGUGAAAAGCCCCCUCGCCGAAAGCGCAAGGUUUCCUACGCAACGUUCAUCGGCGUAGGGUGAGUCGGCCCCUAAGGCGAGGCAGAGAUGCGUAGCUGAUGGGAAACAGGUCAAUAUUCCUGUACCGAUCAAUAGUGCGAUGUGGGGACGGAGAAGGUUAGCUCAGCCGGGUGUUGGAUGUCCCGGUUCAAGCCUGUAGUCGUGCCUGGUAGGCAAAUCCGCCGGGCUUAGAUGAGGGGUGAUAACGAGGAGGCUUGCCUCCGAAGUGAGUGAUACCCUGCUUCCAGGAAAAGCCACUAAGCUUCAGCUAUUGACGACCGUACCGCAAACCGACACUGGUGCGCGAGAUGAGUAUUCUAAGGCGCUUGAGAGAACUCUGGAGAAGGAACUCGGCAAAUUGACACCGUAACUUCGGAAGAAGGUGUGCCUUUAGUAGGUGUAGUUGUACAAACGAAGCCCAAUGAGGCCGCAGAGAAUCGGUGGCUGCAACUGUUUAUUAAAAACACAGCACUCUGCAAAGACGAAAGUCGACGUAUAGGGUGUGACUCCUGCCCGGUGCUGGAAGAUUAAAUGAUGGGGUGCAAGCUCUUGACUGAAGUCCCAGUAAACGGCGGCCGUAACUAUAACGGUCCUAAGGUAGCGAAAUUCCUUGUCGGGUAAGUUCCGACCUGCACGAAUGGCGUAACGACUUGGGCGCUGUCUCCUCCACACGCUCGGCGAA